RNAcentral lists this transfer RNA (71 nucleotides) under Salmo salar (Atlantic salmon). It matches the Rfam family "tRNA". Rfam says of the family: Transfer RNA (tRNA) molecules are approximately 80 nucleotides in length. Their secondary structure includes four short double-helical elements and three loops (D, anti-codon, and T loops). Further hydrogen bonds mediate the characteristic L-shaped molecular structure. tRNAs have two regions of fundamental functional importance: the anti-codon, which is responsible for specific mRNA codon recognition, and the 3' end, to which the tRNAs corresponding amino acid is attached (by aminoacyl-tRNA synthetases). tRNAs cope with the degeneracy of the genetic code in two manners: having more than one tRNA (with a specific anti-codon) for a particular amino acid; and 'wobble' base-pairing, i.e. permitting non-standard base-pairing at the 3rd anti-codon position. Lineage: Eukaryota; Metazoa; Chordata; Actinopteri; Salmoniformes; Salmonidae. The record is from Rfam by way of RNAcentral.
GCUUUGGUGGUUCAGUGGUAGAAUUCUUGCCUGCCACAUGGGAGGAUCGGGUUCGUAUCCCGGCCUAUGCA